AUAAUAUAAAAUUGAGAAUGGAAAUGGGGAAUGUGUCAAAGAGACAACAACCCGACCAAAUGAAAAACAACAGCAGAGGGUCACCAACAGGUCUUCAAUGUAGCAAGAAAUUCCCGCACCCGGAGGCGUCCUUCAGCUGGCCCCUAAACAAAUAUAUACUAGUCCAGUGAUAAUAAACGCCAUACUAAUUUCCAAAUUGUACACAAGAAACUAAAAUUAAAAUAAUACAAGACUAACAAAGGCC
RNAcentral lists this long non-coding RNA (244 nucleotides) under Mytilus galloprovincialis (Mediterranean mussel). Lineage: Eukaryota; Metazoa; Mollusca; Bivalvia; Mytilida; Mytilidae. The record is from RNAcentral.